Molecule: ribosomal RNA, 477 nt
Filed under: uncultured Anoxybacillus sp.
Lineage: Bacteria; Bacillati; Bacillota; Bacilli; Caryophanales; Anoxybacillaceae
Description: bacterial SSU rRNA
Rfam family: Bacterial small subunit ribosomal RNA
Source: RNAcentral
UCAAGGGAAUUGACGGGGCCGCACGAAGCGGUGAGCAUGUGGUUAAUUCGAAGCAACGCGAAGAACCUUACCAGGUCUUGACAUCCCUGACAACCCGAGAGAUCGGGCGUUCCCCUUCGGGGGACAGGGUGACAGGUGGUGCAUGGUUGUCGUCAGCUCGUGUCGUGAGAUGUUGGGUUAAGUCCCGCAACGAGCGCAACCCUCGACCUUAGUUGCCAGCAUUCAGUUGGGCACUCUAAGGUGACUGCCGGCUAAAAGUCGGAGGAAGGUGGGGAUGACGUCAAAUCAUCAUGCCCCUUAUGACCUGGGCUACACACGUGCUACAAUGGGCGGUACAAAGGGUCGCGAACCCGCGAGGGGGAGCCAAUCCCAAAAAGCCGCUCUCAGUUCGGAUUGCAGGCUGCAACUCGCCUGCAUGAAGCCGGAAUCGCUAGUAAUCGCGGAUCAGCAUGCCGCGGUGAAUACGUUCCGGGCCUU